Molecule: long non-coding RNA, 1945 nt
Filed under: Gadus morhua (Atlantic cod)
Lineage: Eukaryota; Metazoa; Chordata; Actinopteri; Gadiformes; Gadidae
Description: lncRNA (ENSGMOG00000029763.1)
Source: RNAcentral
CAGCCCCCCAGCUUCCCCGCCUUCCCCUCUCUCCAGCCCCCCUGCUCUCUCUGCUUCCCCGCCCCCACACCCUCUUCUCCCCAGCCCCACUGCCCCUCCUGCAUCUCCAGUCAAAUCCACCAACCCUCAGUCAGGGACUAUUCAGCUCCUCUGCUGUUUCACAGACCUCCCUCAGCAUGAGAUUGAAGACAUCCUAAGGAAGAUGAAGCCCUCCAACUGUGACCUGGACCCAUUUCCCUCAACCCUGAUAAAAAGUCACUCCUCUGUAGGGCUGGGUAUCGAAUUUCGAUCCGGUUAUGGCACCGACCGAAAUGCUCCGAUCCUAUCGAAUAUCAAAACAUUAAUAGUUUUCCGGUGCCGUAUUUCGAUACUCAAUGAAAUUAAUCCCAGCCUGUCUGCCAAUAGUAAUAUCGUUUUCAACUGUUUCUGGGUAAAUGCUACGUCUGUGAGCCAAUAAUCAUGUGGUAUUAGUGGUUACGAAUCUUAAGUCGCUGGUGAUUGGCUGUCACAUUUUCGGAGCGCGAGACACGUUUGUCUACUUGACCGUCACUAUAUCAAACUUUGUCAGCUGUAACGUCACUCUUGACGUUGUCAUAAUGCCUAAAAGGUCCAAAGUGUGGCUCCACUUCGCUCAGGUGGACACCAAUAGAGCCAGAUGCUCUAUUUGCCAAAAAGUCGUGCUGGCGAAAGACGGCAACACAUCAAAUCUUGCGAAACAUUUAAUAAUGCACAAGAUUAACCUCCGGUCGGACAGCUGCUCCGUGUUUGACUGUAAAGCUAAGAAAGCUAAGAAGGACGACGGGACUUCAGUCACCAGACCGCCUCCUUCUUCCACAUCGAAUUCUCUAUCGGCUAGUGACCGGGAUUCAGCUGGGAGUUUGGCCAACAACAUUACAGCAGGUGGACGAUGGGGACAGCUCAUGCGAUGAAGCCAGUUCAGCUGCAACAGAGAAACUGACAAAGCUGUCUGCGCUGGAGGAGUUGUUCAUGGAUGAGGACAUAGAGGUGGGAGAGCGGAAUUACCCAAUUGCGAGCCAAAGGGAUAAGGUGAAAGAAGAAAUCCGCCACUACAGAGGUUUGCCAUCAACUUUGUCAACUGUUGAUCCAGUGACCUGGUGGUGGGACAUGAGGGGCACCCUACCAGCACUAUCAAGCUUGGCUGCAAGGUACCUCUGUGUUCAGGCGUCAGCGACACCAUCAGAGCGCACCUUUUCAACGGCUGGCGACACAAUCAGCCAGGAGCGGGCCUGUCUGUUGCCAGACAAGGCAGACAUGCUGAUCUUUCUAAAAAAAAACUGUUGAGUGACUGUUGUCAUGCAAUUUGGACUCUUUGGACAUUUGUUUGCAUCAGUUUUUCUCUUUGUUAUUAUUAUUGCAUUGUUAUUUAUUCAUUCCUUAUUAUAACUGAGUGCCCUCGACUAGGCCCCCAUGCCUAGAUCUCUGUGUAUUUAUGUAUGUGUGUAUUUAUGCAUGUGCUCUCUCUCUCUCUCUCUCUCGCUCUCUCGCUCUCUCUCAGUUCUGAAAAAUAAAUUCUAUAAUUCCUAAUUUGUUUUUGUUGUGGAAAUUGAUUUUUAAAACAUCAGGUAUCGAAAAAAGUAUCGUAUCGAACCGGUAUCGAAACCAAGGUAUCGAAAUUAGCACCGUAUCGAAAUAUUUUGAACGAUACCCACCCCUACUCCUCUGCAAUAAUUCCCAUGAUAACCAAAAUCAUCAAUCAGUCCCUCCAGUCCGGCCAUGUACCCACGUUUCUGAAAACUGCUGUCAUCAAGCCACUACUCAAAAAGCCCAGCCUUGAAGCACCUGCCAACUACUGCCCCAUGUCCAACCUCCCUUUCCUAUCAAAGGUGUUGGAAAAGGUCGUUUCUGCCCAUCUCCACAACCACCUCAUAACAAACAGUCUUUAUGAGAAGUUGCAGUCUGGUUCCCGCUCUGGCCACAGUACGGA